Molecule: long non-coding RNA, 326 nt
Organism: Alligator mississippiensis (American alligator)
Lineage: Eukaryota; Metazoa; Chordata; Crocodylia; Alligatoridae
Exons: 4
Source: RefSeq, a predicted model, not a curated record
GUCACAUGGAUGGAAGAAGGCUGGCCUUGGGCAUAAACCUAGUCUUUGAUUAUGCAAGGGGCAAUCUGCCUCUGCAAGUGGUGGGGAGAUGAGUUUCCAGGACAGAAGGGCUGCUGAAGGCAGGCAACCCAGGGGAGCUGGGAUCUGCAUGAAAGAGGUAAUGAUUCAACCCUCAAAACUGAACAAUCAUGAGAGAUAUGAUGUAUUCAUUGACUGAGGUUACUUAUACCAAGCUGAGAGAAAAGAAAAGGGGACCCUGAAAAGUGUGUGUUGAUUCCAAGAUAUGUUGAAAGAAGAUGAGAGAAAGAAGAACUAGUGGAAUGACA